AGGAAAUUAGUUUAAUUGUAAAAUAUUAACUUGUCGUGUUAAAGAUAUUAGUAAAAUAGUACUUCCUU
This 68-nucleotide transfer RNA is filed under the name Bathysciadiidae sp. MNHN-IM-2013-40843. Its description in RNAcentral is "tRNA-Asp". It matches the Rfam family "tRNA". Rfam says of the family: Transfer RNA (tRNA) molecules are approximately 80 nucleotides in length. Their secondary structure includes four short double-helical elements and three loops (D, anti-codon, and T loops). The record is from RNAcentral. Lineage: Eukaryota; Metazoa; Mollusca; Gastropoda; Bathysciadiidae.